AUGAGCUGUUUGAGCUGGAACUGCCGGGGGUUUGGGAACCUCGAGGCAGUCCGAGAGCUUCGCAGUAUCGUGAAGCUAGAAGGACCCACUCUCCUCUUUGUUAUGGAAACGAAAAUCAAUGCAAAGAGAGCUGAGGAUUUGAAGUACACUCUAGGUUUUGGAGGUUGUUUUGCUGUAGACAGUGCUGGUUUGAGCGGUGGCAUUGGUAUUUUUUGGUCUCACGAUGUUAUUGUUGAGUUAAAGAAUUUUAGUCAGUGCCAUAUUGAUGUGGUUGUCCAAAGUAAUGAUCAAGCAUCCUCAAUAUGGCGUUUCAUGGGAUUUUACGGGGCUCUGAGAAUUGAGGGUCGCCACCACAGCUGGCAAACUCUUCGUUCCCUUCAUGCAAUACCUCAUGCGGCAUGGUUGUGUGCGGGUGAUUUCAAUGAAACUUUGUUUGCCUCCAAGCACUUCAGCAGAGCAGCGCAGGCGGAGAGAUAG
Molecule: ribosomal RNA, 477 nt
Filed under: Triticum aestivum (bread wheat)
Lineage: Eukaryota; Viridiplantae; Streptophyta; Magnoliopsida; Poales; Poaceae
Description: partial small subunit ribosomal RNA
Source: RNAcentral